UACGAAGGGUGCAAGCGUUAUUCGGAUUUAUUGGGCGUAAAGGGUUCGUAGGCGGGAGAUCAAGUCAAGUGUGAAAUGUCCGGGCUUAACCUGGAGAGUGCAUUUGAAACUGGUUUUCUUGAGUGUUGAAGAGGGUGGUGGAAUUGCUGGUGUAGGAGUGACAUCCGUAGAGAUCAGCAGGAACAUCGGAGGCGAAGGCGGCCACCUGGUCAAUCACUGACGCUGAGGAACGAAAGCAUGGGGAGCAAACAGG
RNAcentral lists this ribosomal RNA (253 nucleotides) under uncultured bacterium. RNAcentral describes it as "partial 16S ribosomal RNA". It matches the Rfam family "Bacterial small subunit ribosomal RNA", at positions 524 to 776 of the family's 1533-position model. The record is from RNAcentral.